This is a non-coding RNA of Camellia sinensis, 392 nucleotides long. The record is from RefSeq and is a predicted model, not a curated record. Lineage: Eukaryota; Viridiplantae; Streptophyta; Magnoliopsida; Ericales; Theaceae.
UCAAUAUAUUCCUCAAAAAGGACAUGGCUCAAGUUAUAUUCAAUAAACAAUAGGCAGGUUAUAAACAGUCGACUAUUACUUGCAGAAUAGGUUACAAAUAAUAAAAUACUUUACUACAACUUAAAACAUGUCUAAAACACUUACUCCUAGGUUAAUUGGGAUGCCACCCAAAUACCAGCUAGGCUUCAAAACUACUGUCCAGUCAAAAAAAAGAAAAAAGAAACUACACUCAAGUAGUUGGGAUGUGGCUUUGAAUAAUGCCAACUAAUGACCAAUCCAUGUAGCCAACCCAAAGAAAAUGGGGUUAAGGCUUGUUGAGUUGAGUCGAAAGGAAACUCAGGAACAAGAUAUCCACUAAGAUAUUUUAGCCUCUAACAAUUAAUGAAUUAAAA